AACGAACGCUGGCGGCAGGCUUAACACAUGCAAGUCGAACGCAUCCUUCGGGGUGAGUGGCAGACGGGUGAGUAACGAGUGGGAACGUGCCCUUCAGUUCGGGAUAACCCAGGGAAACUUGGGCUAAUACCGGAUACGUGCGAGAGCAGAAAGAUUUAUCGCUGAAGGAGCGGCCCGCGUCUGAUUAGCUAGUUGGUGGGGUAAUGGCCCACCAAGGCGACGAUCAGUAGCUGGUCUGAGAGGAUGAUCAGCCACAUUGGGACUGAGACACGGCCCAAACUCCUACGGGAGGCAGCAGUGGGGAAUAUUGGACAAUGGGCGCAAGCCUGAUCCAGCCAUGCCGCGUGAGUGAUGAAGGCCUUAGGGUUGUAAAGCUCUUUCGUCCGGGACGAUAAUGACGGUACCGGAAGAAGAAGCCCCGGCUAACUUCGUGCCAGCAGCCGCCGUAA
This 449-nucleotide ribosomal RNA is filed under the name uncultured bacterium. Its description in RNAcentral is "partial 16S ribosomal RNA". It matches the Rfam family "Bacterial small subunit ribosomal RNA", at positions 29 to 523 of the family's 1533-position model. The record is from RNAcentral.